UGCCCCUUGGCUGAGUUGGUUACAGCGUCCGACUGUUAAUCGGAAGGUCGUGAGUUCGAGCCUCACAGGGGCAG
RNAcentral lists this transfer RNA (74 nucleotides) under Cylindrobasidium torrendii FP15055 ss-10. Its description in RNAcentral is "tRNA-Asn (GTT) (tRNA-Asn-GTT-2-1)". It matches the Rfam family "tRNA". From Rfam's summary of the family: Transfer RNA (tRNA) molecules are approximately 80 nucleotides in length. Their secondary structure includes four short double-helical elements and three loops (D, anti-codon, and T loops). The record is from RNAcentral. Lineage: Eukaryota; Fungi; Basidiomycota; Agaricomycetes; Agaricales; Physalacriaceae.